This 72-nucleotide transfer RNA is filed under the name Camelus bactrianus (Bactrian camel). It matches the Rfam family "tRNA". From Rfam's summary of the family: Transfer RNA (tRNA) molecules are approximately 80 nucleotides in length. The record is from Rfam by way of RNAcentral. Lineage: Eukaryota; Metazoa; Chordata; Mammalia; Artiodactyla; Camelidae. RNAcentral also lists the same sequence under 2 other names.
GAGGGUAUAGCUCAGUGGAAGAGUGCCUGCCUAGCAUGCACAAGGUCCUGGGUUCAAUCCCCAGUACCUCCA